Molecule: long non-coding RNA, 315 nt
Filed under: Pelobates cultripes (western spadefoot toad)
Lineage: Eukaryota; Metazoa; Chordata; Amphibia; Anura; Pelobatidae
Source: RNAcentral
GUUAGAAACAGCAGAGAGGCAGUCAGAGACACUAGUCAAGAGGGACGGGAAGAGAUCAGGAGAGGACAGGUAGAUUUGCGUGUCAUCUGCAUAGAAAUGAUAUUGGAAGCCAAAGAAGCUAAUGAGUUUACCAAGGGAAGCAGUAUAGAUGGAGAACAGUAGGGGACCAAGGACUGAACCCUGGGGGACACCAACAGAGAGGAGUUGGGGAGAAGAAGCAGAGCCAGAGAAAGAAACACUAAAAGAGCGCUGGGAGAGGAAGGAGCAGCACCAGGAGAGAGCAAUAUCUUGUAGACCGAUAUUGCGGAGGAUGAG